UGCGCAGGCGGGCUUGUAAGUCAGUGGUGGAAUACUGCCGCUCAACGGUAGAACUGCCAUUGAUACUGCAAGUCUUGAAUAUGGUUGAGGUAGGCGGAAUGUGUCGUGUAGCGGUGAAAUGCAUAGAUAUGACACAGAACGCCAAUUGCGAAGGCAGCUUACUAAGCCAUUAUUGACGCUGAGGCACGAAAGCGUGGGGAGCGAACAGGAUUAGAUACCCUGGUAGUCC
Molecule: ribosomal RNA, 229 nt
Filed under: uncultured bacterium
Lineage: Bacteria
Description: partial 16S ribosomal RNA
Rfam family: Bacterial small subunit ribosomal RNA
Source: RNAcentral